Long non-coding RNA from Carya illinoinensis, 3558 nucleotides. RefSeq lists it as uncharacterized. The record is from RefSeq and is a predicted model, not a curated record. The transcript is spliced from 2 exons. NCBI's taxonomy places the organism in Eukaryota, Viridiplantae, Streptophyta, Magnoliopsida, Fagales, Juglandaceae.
UUGGGCCAAAUGGAAUUUUUGGCCUGCGUGGAAAAUUACUUAUUUUUGAGAAAUGAUAAUUUUGGGUCUCAUGCAUAUGGUAUUAUGUUCAUGCAUUUUGUUAUUGCAUAAAUGUAUUUUUAUCUCGUGGUUUAUUUGGAUUAUUGCUUACCUGUGAUACCAUUUCUUGGUAUCAUAGAUUUUGAUGCAGAUGACGAAGAAGUUGAGCCCAAGGAGGCAACUUCGUCGAAUGAGUAAAUUGGUGGUUUUUGCUUGAUUUUAUUGGGAAUUAGUUCCCUGCUUUUUAAUUAUGUAUUUUGGAUUUUUAUGAUGUUGUUACUGGAUAUUUGUAACAUUUUUGUUACGCUUGUAUUUAAGUGAGUUUGUAUUUUAACAAUUCUGGUACUUAGUUGACUGAUUUUAAUUAUCCGUUGUGUUGUUUUGUUGUACACAUGUUGCAUGUACAUACACUUGACACUUGGCGAUGUGAUGCAUGACCCAUGUUGUCAUCAUCCAGACGCCUCAAUUUUCACGUGUCCAUACUUGGGAGUUGGGAGCAUCACACAAGCAAAAAAUAGCAAUACAUAAAUUAGAUGAGAUGUUGAGUUUUCAGAAGUUGAGUUGUGAAAGAUUUGACCUAGGAUACACAACUUUCCAAGACAAAGAGCUUACAAUGUCAUCAUCCGCUGCCACUACCUCUAAGGGUAUUGUCUUUGUCAAAAGAAGCCAAGUUGUGGAUGAUCCAAAAGAAGUCGCUUCAAAGUCAAAUAUUUUUAGAAAACCUCGUGGAAAAUCAACCUCAAAAAGGCUGAUUCAAAGUAAGUUUAUUCAUACUGUCAUCAUUGUGGUGUUGUUGGUCAUAUAAAGCCAUAUUGCUUUAGCUUGAAUAAAGUGCAUAAAAUUAAAGUGAAAGAAACCCAAAAACUAAAGGGAAGAAUCUAGAGAGUCAAGUUUGUGAUAUGAGUCAACAAAUCAACUUGUUAAGUCUCAAACUUGAUAAACUAGCAGAUUUUUGCUUUCAAAAUAAAGAAAAGAUCAUACAAAGUUAUGUUGAUGAAAAGAAUAGACCAAAAUUUAAAGCAAAGUGGAUGGUCAGAGAAGAUGUCAUGUCACAUUAAUUGAUAGGACUCCUUGCAUGUUUCUGCAUUCUUUUUAUUAUUGCAUUUUGUUUUGUUUUGCUUUUAUGUUUUUGUUUUUCUGUUUUAAAUAAGAAAAAUAUAUUAUUUUUUCCCGUGUCAAAAUUUGAGAACUUGUGUGCUCACUUAAUAAAUUCUUGUACCUAUACAUCUCUCUACAUUGUGCAUAUUAACACUAUGGAUUAUCGUGACAAAGUUUAUUUACAAAGUACUGUGAGGUACUUAUAUAUAUAUAUGCAUAUUAUAAUCGAAGUUUAUCUUGAUGCUCAUCAUAGAGGGAGUUCAUGCCUUGAAUUGACUAAUACUAAUUGAACCUAGUACAUUAAUAAAUAGUUCUCCCAUUGCCAAACACAAAGAGUUGAUCUAUAGAGAAAAAGUUGGUGUUAAAUUAUUCAGAAAAAGAUUAACACCCUACACGGAUCUAUUUCACUAAGUUCUUAUAGAAAGAAUCGUUGCUCUUAUCAUUAUGGAAAAAGAUAAGCAACAAAAAUUGAUAUAAAAAUGGAGAAGGUUAUGCAAACUAGUGUUUGGAGGAGAUGCUCAUGUAUCUAGGCCCUAGCAUAAAGUUUGAUUUUUAAGGUGAGUAAUGAACUCUUGUGAGCAUCCAUAAGAAGAAAAUACUCUCAAUAAUAGUACCAUAAAUAUAUUGAAGAAUAAAAAAUAUAUAUUACUAAUAAAUGCUAUGGUAUAAGUUUACUCCAUCACACACUCACAUGAGCUUUGACAUUAAUGAUCUUAUGACGAGUGAACAUCCAUGAUAAUUGUUGCAAAUAAGAGAGUGUACUCUAAUUAAUUUGUUUUGUGAGUGACACCACGUUUGAAUUGAGAUGCAUCAAAACAUGUUAUUUUCCUCAUUGUUUAUAUAUAUAAGAAAAAUAUUCAUUUUUUAGUUUUUUUUAAUUUUUUAAUUUAUUAUUUUAUUUAAAAUAAAAUAAAUAAAGUGAUAAAAAUAUAAAAUAUAUUUUGUGAUUGGGUCAGUAUUGAGUAUUUGUGAUUCUAAAGUAGAAGUCUGGAACUUGAUUUCUGGUCUAUUGGCAUAAGUUCUAGUGGGACUCUAAGGCACAAAGCACAUGCAUGGUUUAAGUGAUUUCAAUCACAAAGAUGCGCCCAGCCCCCCGACAUAAUUACCCCUUCACUUGCACGGGAACUCAUCUAAACACAUGGCACUCUUUAUACACAAGCCCUAGCUCUCCUUAUCUCAUCCACAUCUCAUUCAAUUUUCUUGGGAGAAAUACUUGGUCCGAAGUUUGUUGACUAAAGAUUCUCCAUCACGGUAAGAUUUUGAAUUUAUUCAAAUCAUUAUCUCCUUCCAAUUUUAAGUUUCGGUACCUACAUAUAUGGAGAUUGAGAUUUUGAUUUUUGUUUAGAUGUUAGGACUAGAAUAUCUUAAAAUUUGAAAUAUAUGCUCAUAUGGUUCGAUUUUAUGCAUGUAUUGAUGACGAUUUUUAGUGCAUUAUGUGAUUAUACAGUUCAGUUUUAUCCCAGUGCAUACCAAGUGUUUGCUUUUUUGUCUCAAUCAUUUGCUCAUUGUUUGACAUACAUUCAUACCUAUACAUCAGGUGCAUUUAAUCUAUGAAAAGUUGAGACACAUGAGAGUUGUUCAUCAUGUCUUUCGUCUCGACACACAUAAAUAAUAUUUAUUCUCUUAUGAGUAUUGUUAGAUUCAUGACAAAAAGGGGGAGUAUUGGAAGAACAAAUUGAAAUAUGUUAAAAUAUUUUAGUAUUGUGAAAUUUAGGGGGAGUUUCAGUAAGUGUGUUAUUGAGGGGGAUUUUAAUGAACUUGCUUAAAUGAAUUCGUUAAGGGGGAGUUGAAUAAUAUUGAAGGGGAGAAAGUUUAUUUUUGCUGGACAUAAGCUUUUAUUCUUGAUUAUUUGUUUGUAAUUUCUACUUGGUUUCUUGGUUCGUUGUUUGUGUUUUUGACAGGUUUUAUAUUACAUUUAUCAAGCUGAUUUUGUCACCAAUUUGCCAAAGGGGGAGAUUGUAAAGGGCUCACGGUUCAUGACUACCGAUUGAAUGUUCGGUUUGCCAGCUACUCUUCUAGCUGUCCACCUGACAUGAUAAUGCCCUUUAUGUCACGGUUUCCACAAGUUGAAGGAUGCCGUAGAUCUUUGCGAUCCCAAUCUCACUCCUAAUUUUUGUGGAAGUUGGUGGAUUGUUUAAAAUGGAGGCCAGGUACAUAAUGAGAUUGCCAACAUCUUAGCAGUAAGUUUCUAUCAUGCUCAGGAUCACAUUUUUCUCACUUGACAACAUCAAGUUCUUUAUUGGGAUUGGGGGGGAAUGGGAUUGGGAUUGGGAUUGAGAUUAGAUAUGUUUGGGGUUUUAUCCAUUGAAUGCAUGCCUGGAGAGUGGAGUCCCCACUCAUUGUACCCAGUUGUUUGCGUUACUUUAAAUUACAGUUGCCAAGUCUUUAAGAUCUUUAUUAAUGCAUGUCAAUUGUUACAAA